GACGAACGCUGGCGGCGUGCUUAACACAUGCAAGUCGAACGGAAAGGCCUUUUCGGAGGUACUCGAGUGGCGAACGGGUGAGUAACACGUGGGUGAUCUGCCCUGCACUCUGGGAUAAGCCUGGGAAACUGGGUCUAAUACCGGAUAGGACCGCACUUUAGUGUGUGUGGUGGAAAGUUUUUUCGGUGUAGGAUGAGCCCGCGGCCUAUCAGCUUGUUGGUGGGGUAAUGGCCUACCAAGGCGGCGACGGGUAGCCGGACUGAGGGGUUGGUCGGCCACAUUGGGACUGAGAUACGGCCCAGGCUCCUACGGGAGGCAGCAGUGGGGAAUAUUGCACAAUGGGCGCAAGCCUGAUGCAGCGACGCCGCGUGGGGGAUGACGGCCUUCGGGUUGUAAACUCCUUUCGCCAGGGACGAAGCGUUUUGUGACGGUACCUGGAGAAGAAGCACCGGCUAACUACGUG
This 463-nucleotide ribosomal RNA is filed under the name uncultured bacterium. RNAcentral describes it as "partial 16S ribosomal RNA". It matches the Rfam family "Bacterial small subunit ribosomal RNA", at positions 28 to 507 of the family's 1533-position model. The record is from RNAcentral.